Zootermopsis nevadensis is the source of this 1104-nucleotide non-coding RNA. The record is from RefSeq and is a predicted model, not a curated record. NCBI's taxonomy places the organism in Eukaryota, Metazoa, Arthropoda, Insecta, Blattodea, Termopsidae.
AGUUCUAGAAACUGUGUGUGCCACGUGAUGCAAAUCACAGCCUGUAGAAAAGCUGCUGGAAGUGACUCAAGUUAUGUGUGCACAGGCCUGGAUGACAUAAGACACAGCCAGGCAGAGGCUGCAAGAAGUAACUUGAAGUCCUCAUAGCAAAUGUUCAUAACAAUACAUUUCAACAUGUAAGAUUUGAGGUUUUCACAGCGUGUUAUGGUGGGAUGAGACUGUCUGUGUGGAACUGCGGCUGUGCUUUGGUCCUGUUAUCCGUCCCCUAGAUGAAACAUAAAUGAAGGAGCACUGGAGGAAUCAAUGUGCUUGAAGAAAAACCCAUCCCAGUGCCACUCCAUCCACCACAGAUCCCAUAUGGACUGUUGUGGGAGUGAACCGAGGCCCCUACAGUAAGAAGAUAGCGACUAAGCACUUGAGCUAUGGCACAGCCUAAAUGAACGGCAAAGUGAAGUAAAAGAUGCAUCACUAUUCUAAACACAUCCAAUAUUUUAGCCAACAUUACUCUUGCCACUUUCGGAACGAGUGCCUAGAACCUGGGCAGAUGUGGCCCGUGACUUGUUCAUGCUCCAAGGUACACACAAGUCAGAGUACAACUCUAAUUUGAUGGAAGUUGAAUGGUUAAGUAGAGAAAUUAGCUCUGUUAUGUUCCUAUCUCCUCUGCUGAUGUCAUUUGGAUGUUUCACAUUUACACCCAAAAGACAACCAUCUUGAGACUCAUCGCCAUGAAAACCUCAAAUCUUGAAUACAUUUAAUUAUAAUGAAUGAUCUUAAUAAUCUCCUUCAAUGUGCUACAUAUAUAGAUCUAUGUUUUACAUUAAAGGACAUUGCUGAUAAAAUUUAGCUGUAUAUGAAAUGGUAGAAUGAAAUCCCUGAUGACAAUCAGUUGGUAACAAAAAAUAAACACUAUAAAAUGAGUUGGAAUGUAUGGUUAUUUGUAUCGUAAUAUAACUUUUGCUAUACAAUGUUUUAGUUUGCAAACUUUCACCCCUCUAGUAACAUACAAUGUGUAUCAUAAUUAUGCAAUUUCUCUCAGGAUGUCAGUACAAGCCAAUACAGAGACACACCACAUGCAGAAUAACCAUUACAAAACUUACCAUAUUA